Molecule: ribosomal RNA, 253 nt
Filed under: uncultured bacterium
Lineage: Bacteria
Description: partial 16S ribosomal RNA
Rfam family: Bacterial small subunit ribosomal RNA
Source: RNAcentral
UACGAAGGGUGCAAACGUUGCUCGGAAUUAUUGGGCGUAAAGCGCACGUAGGCGGCAUUGCAAGUCGGAUGUGAAAUCUUAUGGCUUAACCAUAAAAGUGCAUCCGAAACUGCAGUGCUUGAGUACUUAAGAGGAUCGCGGAAUUCCCGGUGUAGAGGUGAAAUUCGUAGAUAUCGGGAGGAACACCAGUGGCGAAGGCGGCUACCUGGCCCGCUCUUGACGCUGAGGCGCGAAAGCUAGGGGAGCAAACGGG